AAAAUCCGUCGACUUUAUAAGUCGUGAGGGUUCAAGUCCCU
RNAcentral lists this transfer RNA (41 nucleotides) under Festuca rupicola. RNAcentral's name for it is "partial tRNA-Leu". The record is from RNAcentral. RNAcentral also lists the same sequence under 1 other name. Lineage: Eukaryota; Viridiplantae; Streptophyta; Magnoliopsida; Poales; Poaceae.